UGGGGAAUAUUGGACAAUGGGCGAAAGCCUGAUCCAGCCAUGCCGCGUGUGUGAAGAAGGUCUUCGGAUUGUAAAGCACUUUAAGUUGGGAGGAAGGGUUGUAGAUUAAUACUCUGCAAUUUUGACGUUACCGACAGAAUAAGCACCGGCUAACUCUGUGCCAGCAGCCGCGGUAAUACAGAGGGUGCAAGCGUUAAUCGGAAUUACUGGGCGUAAAGCGCGCGUAGGUGGUUAGUUAAGUUGGAUGUGAAAUCCCCGGGCUCAACCUGGGAACUGCAUUCAAAACUGACAAGCUAGAGUAUGGUAGAGGGUGGUGGAAUUUCCUGUGUAGCGGUGAAAUGCGUAGAUAUAGGAAGGAACACCAGUGGCGAAGGCGACCACCUGGACUGAUACUGACACUGAGGUGCGAAAGCGUGGGGAGCAAACAGGAUUAGAUACCCCAGUAGUCCCUGAGCGGGCUGGCAAGGCG
Molecule: ribosomal RNA, 469 nt
Filed under: uncultured bacterium
Lineage: Bacteria
Description: bacterial SSU rRNA
Rfam family: Bacterial small subunit ribosomal RNA
Source: RNAcentral